RNAcentral lists this ribosomal RNA (252 nucleotides) under uncultured bacterium. Its description in RNAcentral is "partial 16S ribosomal RNA". It matches the Rfam family "Bacterial small subunit ribosomal RNA", at positions 524 to 776 of the family's 1533-position model. The record is from RNAcentral.
UACAGAGGGUGCAAGCGUUGUUCGGAAUUAUUGGGCGUAAAGGGCGCGUAGGCGGUGCGGUAAGUCUGUAGUGAAAUCUCUGGGCUCAACUCAGAGUCUGCUGCAGAAACUGCCGUGCUUGAGUGUGGGAGAGGUGAGUGGAAUUCCCGGUGUAGCGGUGAAUGCGUAGAUAUCGGGAGGAACACCUGUGGCGAAAGCGGCUCACUGGACCACAACUGACGCUGAGGCGCGAAAGCUAGGGGAGCAAACAGG